RNAcentral lists this ribosomal RNA (254 nucleotides) under uncultured bacterium. RNAcentral's name for it is "partial 16S ribosomal RNA". It matches the Rfam family "Bacterial small subunit ribosomal RNA", at positions 524 to 776 of the family's 1533-position model. The record is from RNAcentral.
UACAUGGGGUGCAAACGUUGCUCGGAAUUAUUGGGCGUAAAGCGCACGUAGGCGGUUUGUUAAGUCGGAUGUGAAAUCCCUCGGCUCAACUGAGGAAGUGCAUCCGAAACUGGCAGGCUUGAGUACUAAAGAGGGUCGCGGAAUUCCCGGUGUAGAGGUGAAAUUCGUAGAUAUCGGGAGGAACACCGGUGGCGAAGGCGGCGACCUGGGUAGAUACUGACGCUGAGGUGCGAAAGCGUGGGGGAGCAAACAGG